This 66-nucleotide small nucleolar RNA is filed under the name Colobus angolensis palliatus. The record is from RNAcentral. Lineage: Eukaryota; Metazoa; Chordata; Mammalia; Primates; Cercopithecidae.
UGCCAAUGAUGGUUAAGAAUUUCUUCACCUGAAUAAACUGUGUGGUCAACAUUGCAUCUGAGGCAA